RNAcentral lists this transfer RNA (72 nucleotides) under Agrilus planipennis (emerald ash borer). It matches the Rfam family "tRNA". From Rfam's summary of the family: Transfer RNA (tRNA) molecules are approximately 80 nucleotides in length. Their secondary structure includes four short double-helical elements and three loops (D, anti-codon, and T loops). The record is from Rfam by way of RNAcentral. Lineage: Eukaryota; Metazoa; Arthropoda; Insecta; Coleoptera; Buprestidae.
ACAUUCGUAGCUUAGUGGUCAGACUGCUGGUAUCUAAAGCCAGGGAUCCGGUUUCUAUUCCCGGCGAGGGCG